CUUACUGUUAAUCGCUCACUUCUGCCGGCGUCUGCGUGGAAUUUCACAGGAGUUUAUGCAUCUCAUCUCAAAGUAAGGAAUAUAUGGGAUUGAAUACAAUUUAAGAUACAGAAAAUCAUUUCUACUUGUUUAGUUUGAUAAAUCAAUAACGUAAUAAUGUAUAACACACAUUUUUACAAUGAUAAAUCAAAACCAUAUUUUCUGGUGUCUUUAUUAUUAUUUAACCCAGAAUAUUUCUCUGAAGGAACCAGUCACACGUGGCAUUUUGGGAAAUGUUUUGUAGUUAGUAUGACUGGCUAUUUUGGUUUUAGUCACAAAACAGUCACUACAUAACCACUGACGAUUCUAAUGAUCCACUUAAAGGAAUAGUGCACCCAAAUGUGGACAUUUACUGUUAAUGUGCCCACUCUCAGGCCAUCCAAGAUUAGGAUGAGUUUGUUUCUUCAUCAGAUUUGGAGAAAUGUAGCAUUGCAUCAGUGUCUCAACAAUGGAUGCUCUGCAGUGAAUGGGUGCCGUCAGAAUGAGAGUCCAAACAGCUGAUAAAAACAUCACAAUAAUCCACAGUUAAUGUGUUGAGAAGUGAGAAGUCAAUCUUCUGUUGUCCUGUUGAUGUUGUUCAGAUCAAUCGAAAUAGCUGUGACAGUAUUAGACAAUUCUAGACAAUAUUGUAACUGCUGUAUUAUGAUAUUGUGAUGAUAUAUACUAUACUAAUUCUUUUAGCUUUUUUCCAUUUUGCAUGAAAGUCUUAAGUGUCUUUCAAUAAUUUUAAAAGCCGAGUUUUGAAAACUCGUGAUGUUACGAAGGAGUGAAUCGAUGAAGACUUUCUUGUAUUUUUAGGAACGUGCUGUCACUGGAACAGAAGUGACUUUCAGAUCAAGAAUAUUAAAUAUAUAUGGUCCCUGGUGUGGCUUUCUGGAUGCCUGUCAACAAAGAUUACUAAUAAGAUUUGUUGGAUGCAUCGGAUAAAUAUACCAGCAAGUGUUUAUUGUAUGAAAGCUUUUAUAUGACCCGAUGUGCCAGAGAUCUUUUGAGAAAACACUACUUAGAAAGUAGAAGUUACUUGUUCUCUUUGUUUUAUUCAAUUCACUAUGAAUAUGCCUUCUUUGAUAACUCAAUGGUAAUAAUCUGUCGCUGUUUGUUUUGCUUCUAAUCACUAUGUGCCAAAAGAAGGUGCGGUGGAAAUCUAGGGAUCAUAUGAUAUCCUUAUGUGUUUUAAUCACUCAUUUACACUGGUCGAAUAUUGUGCCUUUGUUUAUUUUGAGGUUUUCUAUCAUAUAAAUUGAUCUGACGCUUUUCUAUUUCUGUUCAUCAGUCAUUAUUUUAGUGUCCCUUGACAAAUAUCAUCAUUUAUCCAAUGUGAAGUCAGCUAUGCAUAUUUUUUUCUCUCUCUUGUAACACUGUCACAUUUUGUUCUGUGAGUAUUGUUUCAACUCGUGCAAUUAUAUACAAAUAAAAUUGGUGUUUUAA
Long non-coding RNA from Cyprinus carpio carpio, 1467 nucleotides. The record is from Ensembl. Lineage: Eukaryota; Metazoa; Chordata; Actinopteri; Cypriniformes; Cyprinidae.